RNAcentral lists this ribosomal RNA (253 nucleotides) under uncultured bacterium. Its description in RNAcentral is "partial 16S ribosomal RNA". It matches the Rfam family "Bacterial small subunit ribosomal RNA", at positions 524 to 776 of the family's 1533-position model. The record is from RNAcentral.
AACGUAGGAGGCGAGCGUUAUCCGGAUUUACUGGGCGUAAAGCGCGUGCAGGCGGCGCGGUAAGUUGGAUGUGAAAGCUCCUGGCUCAACUGGGAGAGGUCGUUCAAUACUGCCGUGCUAGAGGGUGGGAGAGGGAGGUGGAAUUCCGGGUGUAGUGGUGAAAUGCGUAGAUAUCCGGAGGAACACCAGUGGCGAAGGCGGCCUCCUGGCCCAUUUCUGACGCUCAGACGCGAAAGCUAGGGUAGCAAACGGG